GUGCUUGCCUCAGCAGCACAUAUACUAAAAUUGGAAUGAUACAGAGAAGAUUAGCAUGGCCCCUGAGCAAGAAUGACAUAAAAAUUCUGGGGAAAAAAAAAAAAAGCCU
Mandrillus leucophaeus (drill) is the source of this 109-nucleotide small nuclear RNA. The record is from Ensembl. Lineage: Eukaryota; Metazoa; Chordata; Mammalia; Primates; Cercopithecidae.